Molecule: long non-coding RNA, 614 nt
Organism: Melitaea cinxia (Glanville fritillary)
Lineage: Eukaryota; Metazoa; Arthropoda; Insecta; Lepidoptera; Nymphalidae
Exons: 2
Source: RefSeq, a predicted model, not a curated record
UUUUAACCCCCCCCCCCCCCCUAUAACUUAGGGGUAUGAAAAAUAAAUGUUGGCCGAUUCUCAGACCUACCAGAUUUCCAGAGACCAGCCGUUUCGUAGGAGUAUGGUAAAUAACAUUGUGACACGAGAAUUUUGUAUAUAAGAAUUUCUGACAUUACAUUAUGCGUAUGAUAUUAAUAAAUUGACACAACCUUAACGCAACACUCCCAUUGGAAUAGGAAGUUUAAUAAUGACAAAAGAAAAACAAAAAAAAACCGCGCGCGAUCUCAAGCAACAGACGCAAUAAUCCAACGAGAAUUAACAAGAGCUCUGCAAAGUUUAAAUAGGCGAGUAAGAGGUAUGAGAGUUCACAAUUGCGGUUGAUUUUAUCAGCUUUUUUUUCUUUUUUGGAUAUUUAAUUAUUCCCUCUUUGGUGACUGGAGCUAAUGAUGUUAUAACUAUUUUAGUACUGCUGGUUAAUUGUAUCGCCUUUAUUUGUAUUACGAGUUGGUAUAGGAAAAAUUUUCAGGAAUGUUUUUUUUUUAAGAAUUUUGCUUCCUUUGUAUGUUUGUAGAUUAUAAUUUUAUUAUUGUUUGUAUGACACCGAAGUCGUAAUUAUGAAUUUGUAAUGUAAA